GUGGAAUAAUACAAGGUGUUGGAUAUUGACAGCGUUCUCGCUCUAAUCCGCCAUCUUGGCUCCCUUAGCUAUAUCAGUGUUUCCCUCUUGAAAAAACUACAUUUUAUCGCCUUUAAAAAAGUACUAAACUACCUCAUUCCCUAUUCCAAAACCGAUUUGCAAUCACUGAACAAUUCUUUGACAUUUACUCUAUUCUUAUCGUUGGCAACUGAAAAUUAAAUUAGAAAUUUCAACAUUAAUUCGGCAAAAAAACAUCGGUUUAGAGUUCUCCCCAAGGAUUUGUAGUUAUUUUGGUCGGUGCUUCCUUCCGCUGCAAUUCCGUCUGUGGUUCACUGCCACUGGCCUUGCUUUUUCAACGAUAUAACUGUUUUCUUGUGAUUUUUGCUGCUGCAAUCCCGUCUGUGGUUCACUGCCUCUGGCCCUGCUUUUCCAACGAUAUAACUGUUUUUUUGGUAACUUCUACCGCUAAGACUUUGUUGCUUUUUCCCUUUUCCCUAAAAACAUAAUAGUGCUACAAAGCUCAAUAACAAUAUGGAAACAAAUGUUAAUAAGCCACAAUAAUAUUGACAAUAAAUAAGAUUUCACUACGA
Molecule: long non-coding RNA, 590 nt
Filed under: Rhagoletis pomonella (apple maggot)
Lineage: Eukaryota; Metazoa; Arthropoda; Insecta; Diptera; Tephritidae
Description: uncharacterized LOC118736522
Source: RNAcentral